UCCUAUUACACUCAAAAUGACGUGCUUUGAUGGGCUACGUUCUAAGUGACACUGCUGGUAACACCACUAGCAUCAAGCUGUUUGGAAUCAGCCCCAUUAAAAUGUCCCAUUUGGCUAUAACGUAAACCCCUUGUGGCAUAUCCAUCUAGAACCUAUUUUGCAGGGAUUUCAGUAAGAACUAGUUGAUUCAAAGCUGUGUGGUUUGUAGAGGUGUGUGGAGAGUUACACCCGUGUGUGAGCUGCAGAAUGAACAAGCAGAAGUUAAAUCCAUGUCGAGUAGUAAAAAAGAAGAAUAAAACUUGUAGACGUUCAGUUGUCGAGCCUUCAGCGGUCCCGUCACACCAGAAAUGAACAAAUUCUUCUUGGAAUUCGCCUCUGCUUGUUUCAGUCUGAUUGUUCUGAACUGCUGUUUUUAGGGACUGUUACUCCUGGGAGUCUGCUUUCUCCAGCCUGUGGCUUCUGGAGUGUCCAGAACUGGCUGACCCUUAGUUCCAUUGAAGUCUGGCUAGGCCAAAAGAAGAUAUAUUGAUCCCUCAACCACAUGGUAUUCAGGAGCAAUACCAUGGGUGUUUAUCUGGGUCAUGACAUAAAGGAGAGGGUACAGGGCUGAAGGUUUAUCCGGGAGCCUGAAAUUCCAUGUGGUGCAAAAGAGACAUUGAAAUCACCUCAAAUGUCAUCGAAUGGUGGUUGUUCUCCUGGAAGCACCUGUGGUAUUGGAGAAAGAAGCAACGUGGUGGGGGGGCAGGCAUGGGGGGGGUGUUGACAUAGCCUCAAGCCGUUUGUCAUAUGACAUCCACCCCGCCCAACAGUAAUGAGGUUUGGGUUUAACAGUGAUUACACCACCGCCUGAGCUGCUAAGAAAGCAAACACAGCUGAGCAGAAUCUAAAUCAAUAAAGUCAUCACAGAUGGAAGCCAGGGGUUGGACAGGUCACGGACUGCGCUCGAAAAAUUAGCAGCAGGGUUACAGCCUCAAUGAAAUAUUGACUGGUGUCUUGUGCACUUUAAUCUCCAAAUUCUUCUGAGAUACAAGGCUCUCUUGCUGGUUCUGUAGCUAUGUUCCCAAGUCAUAAUAAUUAUAGAGGCUACAAAAUGACCAGGACUCUGAUGUGUUGUCCAAGUCAUAGGCAGCCUUUCCUGUCACUGAUGUUUCAGCUAGCAAUAAUAAUCCAGUCUGAGUCUAAACACUUACAGUAUCUGGCUCCACAGUUUCAUCGCUUGAUAUAACAAAAGCUAUGUUAGUUAACAAACAAAUUUGAUUUGGCUAAAUUACACACAGUGCAUUUGAUUAAAACCCUUAGUGUGUGAUAUGGAGCUUCAGUUUUCAUACAUUCCCAGCCCCUCACUCCCUUUCAGCUCUUUGUCACAUUUCAGCAGUAUUGCAUCACUUGUAAAAUUCCAUAAGCAAUUUAAAUCCUGCUUCUCUACAUUUCAGAUAGAGCUAAAAUACCCGCUUUGUUGCUGCAGUACUGUCCCUGUUUAUGGCUGCAUUGCAUUUCUGAAACAGGCAUCAGGCUUUUCCAAGUGUUAUUUAAUAUGAAUGUACCGUAUAUGACACACUGAGGUGCAGGAGAGAAAGACAGACAGUAUGUCUCAUGAAUUCAGAGGCACUAACAUUGUGAUGCAUUAAUAGUCAUUUAUAUAAAGAUACUCAUGUUCAUGAAUUUCACUUUUUUGUCAUUAUUCUAACAAAUCUGCAUCUUCGCGUUUCAACUCGACAGCUUUGUGCAUUCUUGCAGUACUGUAAAACUGACAGGACAUGACAUGACCCUGCUGAGAAGCAGCUGGAUUAUGGCUAGAUCCUCAGUCAUGAAAAGCUAGCUCCAGAGUGUUCCUUGCGGGAUGAUCGUCAUGUAAUGUAUAAAUGUCUCCAUCUGUGACAUCCGACCUGCUUCAUCUACAGUGUCAAUCCUCCUGCUAGCUAGGAUGUCAGAUUAAUGUACAUUUAUAGCGAGUGCUCAUUAUAGCCAGAAUGCUGGGAUUAAACUGUUCCUCUCUCAUUUCUGAAAGUAGGAGCAGCCUCAUCAUCACAGGCAGUCAGAGCCAGUGUGAUAUGGGACAAAAAAGAUCCCUCUUUCAAGACAUGUAAAAAACAAACCAACUGGAAGCAGUGCUGAAGCCCACAGAGGAAGGUCUAUACUCAAAUCCAGAAGUUCAGAAGGUCAGAUCUUACCCUGGACACCACAGAGUUGGGAGGGCAGAGAGUAUGGGGCCCACUCUAGCCCCCAGCAUGGGGAUCUAGCCAUCACAAGGUAAUUCCCAGCCCUACUGGUCCCCAUUUUACAGGUAGGUGCACUGGAUCAAUCGAGCUGAAGUACUUGGCUCCAAGGUGUAACAACUGUGUCCAUAGCAGGGACUUCAACUUCCAGCUGUGACAUCAGAGAGAGCUAGAUAAGACACUCACAGAUGGAAGACUACUUCGCCCUGUCCAUCUCGGAGCAGAUACUGCCCAGAUAACUCCCACUGUGGGGUAAGAAGGGAGCUGACUGGCACUCUUGGAAAAGAAAAUAAGAUCAUUCAUUUCCAUUACGAUUAUCACCAGUGCUAUUAACACAAAAACAGUGUCUUUCUGUCUCCCAGCAGUUACAAUGACUUUGUAGCUGGAAUUGUUCUGCCUCCUUGGUUUUGCAAUUGUCUCGUUUUUCCAACACGUAUUCACUACAAGCCACAUGACAAGUGAAAUUUAAAUUUGGCAGCAUCCUCGGUGCCUUGUAUGAUACAUCCCAGGUGAUCCAGCUGAUUGCUGUCUAUUUUGUCUAGUUAUAAAUGUCAUCUUGGGAGCACAUACAGCUUACUGAAAGACCACUGGAGCAUUUUCGACCAGUUCAGUGAAUGAGAAGAGGUUUCUGCCAGGCAGGUUUGUGUAUUUUAAAGAUGACGCAUCUGAGUGACACAUCUGGAAUGAAACGAUUGUUCUUGUUCAGCCCUCUUCCAGCCCACAACAAUGCGUGUGCAUCACAUUUAGGCUGACAAGUAACUACUGAACCUUGAAAGCUUAAAUGGCGCUUCAAUAAAAUGAAAGCUGCUUUAAAAAGCCCAUCACCUUUCUCUAUUUUAAGCAUAAAACACACGUGCUUUUCAGCAGCUCUACAUUAAUCUCAGUCUCUCUCUUUUCCUCUGUCAGAGUCUUCAGACAGUUCUGCGAUGCCAGUGAUGUGCUCCCAGUGAGGACUGAAUGAACACGUGUUGACCUAGGGUUCAGAGGUCACAGGAGGGUCAGCCAGUUGUCCCUACUGACAAAGGAGUCGUAGCCACUAAGCUUGACAUCACACUCCUGUCCCUUUGCACAGCUGAGUCAGCUCCUGGAACCCGAACCAAACUGCAACGCACACAGUUGUCUCAGAGUCGGCUGUCAGACCAGACUACACGCCAGGCUGGCCCCCGAACCCCAGGAGGUGAAGAAAGUGAUACCGCAUCCUUCUGGUGGUUGUGGUUGAGGCAGUUUUCAAGUGGCCCCUGGCCAGAGCCCAGCGAACGAC
Molecule: long non-coding RNA, 3477 nt
Organism: Lepisosteus oculatus (spotted gar)
Lineage: Eukaryota; Metazoa; Chordata; Actinopteri; Semionotiformes; Lepisosteidae
Source: RefSeq, a predicted model, not a curated record